AAACUUUUUUAUACUGGAUAUAAAAAUCUAGACUAAGGAAGGACUAUACAUGGAAAGAGCAAUAAGAAAACUUUCUGCAAGCCAAGAUUGAAGCAUUAUCCAGUGUGGGGUCAACUUUGGGUCAUGAACAAAAUAAUUUUCUCAACUUCAAGGCACAAACAAUGGGCAGUGGUGAAUCUCCCAAGUUAGGUACAACCAUAUACGGACUAUUCUCAGUGUCCUGCUGACCUUCUCAGGGAACACUCAUUCUUCUCAUUGAGCAUUUAUUCUAAAUUACUUAUGGUAUAUUUAGAUUAGGUAGAAUUUUCUUUGCUAGCUUGAGCACAUACAUAUUACCUAAAAGACCAUUUGUAAGGUAAUACAUAUUCACAAUUCAACAUAGAAAAUUUUAAAAUUGUUAUAGUGCAACCUUUUGUAACUCCUGAAAUCUGAGUAUAAAGAGAAUUUCUUACAGCUUCUUAGGCAGAAAGAAAAACUUACUAACAAAGGAAAUCGCAUUAAACUUUCAUGUUCUCUUCUCAAACAUUAGAAGCUAAAUAAGAAUAGAGUAGCAUCUAUCAACCAAUGAGAGAAAGGGUCAGAAAUGUAAAACCCUGUAACAGUCAAAGUAAAAUUCACCUGCCAUUGUAAAAUAAACUCACUGGAGUGCAUGCAAGAACUCAGACCAUAUUUCAUUCAUCCCUCUUGUCUAUGGAUAAUGCUUGGAGAAAGAUCCUGACCUGAUACAAAUAAAUUCUUCCUAAAACUACAAGUGGAGAAAAAUAUUAUAAAUAGUAAAA
RNAcentral lists this long non-coding RNA (779 nucleotides) under Homo sapiens (human). RNAcentral describes it as "HSALNT0203482". The record is from RNAcentral. Lineage: Eukaryota; Metazoa; Chordata; Mammalia; Primates; Hominidae.